UACGUAGGGUGCAAGCGUUGUCCGGAAUUAUUGGGCGUAAAGAGCUCGUAGGCGGUCUGUCGCGUCGGCUGUGAAAUCCCGGAGCUCAACUCCGGGCCUGCAGUCGAUACGGGCGGACUAGAGUUCGGCAGGGGAGACUGGAAUUCCUGGUGUAGCGGUGAAAUGCGCAGAUAUCAGGAGGAACACCGGUGGCGAAGGCGGGUCUCUGGGCCGAUACUGACGCUGAGGAGCGAAAGCGUGGGGAGCGAACAGG
This 253-nucleotide ribosomal RNA is filed under the name uncultured bacterium. RNAcentral's name for it is "partial 16S ribosomal RNA". It matches the Rfam family "Bacterial small subunit ribosomal RNA", at positions 524 to 776 of the family's 1533-position model. The record is from RNAcentral.